GGCAGCAUGGUGUAGUGGUUUGAGCACUGGACUGUAAUGCCAGGUGACCAGGGUUCCAAUCCCAGCUCAGCUA
This is a non-coding RNA of Phrynosoma platyrhinos (Desert horned lizard), 73 nucleotides long. The record is from the annotation of a GenBank genome assembly. NCBI's taxonomy places the organism in Eukaryota, Metazoa, Chordata, Lepidosauria, Squamata, Phrynosomatidae.